UACGAAGGGGGCUAGCGUUGUUCGGAAUUACUGGGCGUAAAGCGCACGUGGGCGGACUGAUAAGUCAGGGGUGAAUCCCGGGGCUCAACCCCGGAACUGCCUUUGAUACUGUCAGCCUAGAGUUCGAGAGAGGUGAGUGGAAUUCCGGGUGUAGGGGUGAAAUUCGUAGAUAUUCGGAGGAACACCAGUGGCGAAGGCGGCUCACUGGCUCGAUACUGACGCUGAGGUGCGAAAGCGUGGGGAGCAAACAGG
RNAcentral lists this ribosomal RNA (252 nucleotides) under uncultured bacterium. RNAcentral's name for it is "partial 16S ribosomal RNA". It matches the Rfam family "Bacterial small subunit ribosomal RNA", at positions 524 to 776 of the family's 1533-position model. The record is from RNAcentral.